This 429-nucleotide ribosomal RNA is filed under the name Actinomycetes bacterium. Its description in RNAcentral is "Actinobacteria bacterium partial 16S ribosomal RNA". It matches the Rfam family "Bacterial small subunit ribosomal RNA", at positions 355 to 776 of the family's 1533-position model. The record is from RNAcentral. Lineage: Bacteria; Bacillati; Actinomycetota; Actinomycetes.
UAGGGAAUCUUCCGCAAUGGGCGAAAGCCUGACGGAGCAACGCCGCGUGAGUGAUGAAGGUCUUCGGAUCGUAAAACUCUGUUAUUAGGGAAGAACAAAUGUGUAAGUAACUAUGCACGUCUUGACGGUACCUAAUCAGAAAGCCACGGCUAACUACGUGCCAGCAGCCGCGGUAAUACGUAGGUGGCAAGCGUUAUCCGGAAUUAUGGGGCGUAAAGCGCGCGUAGGCGGUUUUUUAAGUCUGAUGUGAAAGCCCACGGCUCAACCGUGGAGGGUCAUUGGAAACUGGAAAACUUGAGUGCAGAAGAGGAAAGUGGAAUUCCAUGUGUAGCGGUGAAAUGCGCAGAGAUAUGGAGGAACACCAGUGGCGAAGGCGACUUUCUGGUCUGUAACUGACGCUGAUGUGCGAAAGCGUGGGGCUCAAACAGG